AGUUUUGCAGUUUUGUACUACAGGAAGAAGUGACCUGUGCAAAUCUAUGCAAAACUGG
RNAcentral lists this microRNA precursor (58 nucleotides) under Callorhinchus milii (elephant shark). Its description in RNAcentral is "Cmi-Mir-19-P1c_pre stem-loop". Lineage: Eukaryota; Metazoa; Chordata; Chondrichthyes; Chimaeriformes; Callorhinchidae. The record is from RNAcentral.